CUGAGUUUACAACUCCCAAAACCCCCUGUGAACAUACCUAUCGUUGCUUCGGCGGGCUCGCCCCGGCGCCUCUGGGCACCGGAUCCAGGCGCCCGCCGGAGGACCCCCAAACUCUUGUUUUUGAUGAGUAUCUUCUGAGUAAACAAGCAAAUGAAUUA
This 158-nucleotide unclassified non-coding RNA is filed under the name uncultured Nectriaceae. Its description in RNAcentral is "sequence contains ITS1". Lineage: Eukaryota; Fungi; Ascomycota; Sordariomycetes; Hypocreales; Nectriaceae. The record is from RNAcentral.